GGCAGGUGCAGCUGCAACAUGGCAAUGUCACUCCCAAAGGGGUGGAGCUUCUCAAAGUCUGGAUGGGUGAUGAUCCGGUGCACAGACAUCUUCUGGGUGUGCUGGGUUUGAUGAUACAGUUGGAUGUUUCCCAACAGAACCUGAUAGUUCUUCUCUUCUUGUUCCUGAACACAAGUAAUGAAACUUAGGAGCAUGGUGCACACUGAAGAGAAGCCCUGCAGGUGGCCAGCACAGACACUGCCAAUGCUCUCACGCAUGUCUGGGUUGAGCAGACAGACACAGGGGCCAGGGAACUCCCUGCCAGAGCUGAGGAUGAAGGAUGAGGAGGUUCUGGGCAGAUGGAGGGACAGUGGGUGGAGAGUGGGGAGGACAGUCCUGGUGGAGGGGACUACGGGUCAACGGCAGGCACU
This 410-nucleotide long non-coding RNA is filed under the name Homo sapiens (human). Its description in RNAcentral is "non-protein coding lnc-CENPP-8:1". Lineage: Eukaryota; Metazoa; Chordata; Mammalia; Primates; Hominidae. The record is from RNAcentral.